Molecule: ribosomal RNA, 457 nt
Filed under: Eikenella corrodens
Lineage: Bacteria; Pseudomonadati; Pseudomonadota; Betaproteobacteria; Neisseriales; Neisseriaceae
Description: bacterial SSU rRNA
Rfam family: Bacterial small subunit ribosomal RNA
Source: RNAcentral
AUUGAACGCUGGCGGCAUGCUUUACACAUGCAAGUCGAACGGCAGCGGGGUAGUGCUUGCACUACUGCCGGCGAGUGGCGAACGGGUGAGUAAUAUAUCGGAACGUACCGAGUAAUGGGGGAUAACCAAUCGAAAGAUUGGCUAAUACCGCAUACGUCCUGAGGGAGAAAGCGGGGGAUCGCAAGACCUUGCGUUAUUCGAGCGGCCGAUAACUGAUUAGCUAGUUGGUGGGGUAAAGGCCUACCAAGGCGACGAUCAGUAGCGGGUCUGAGAGGACGAUCCGCCACACUGGGACUGAGACACGGCCCAGACUCCUACGGGAGGCAGCAGUGGGGAAUUUUGGACAAUGGGGGCAACCCUGAUCCAGCCAUGCCGCGUGUAUGAAGAAGGCCUUCGGGUUGUAAAGUACUUUUGUUAGGGAAGAAAAGGGAAGUGCUAAUACCACUUUUUGCUGACG